AGGAGCUUGCUCCUUUGACGUUAGCGGCGGACGGGUGAGUAACACGUGGGUAACCUACCUAUAAGACUGGGAUAACUUCGGGAAACCGGAGCUAAUACCGGAUAAUAUUUCGAACCGCAUGGUUCGAUAGUGAAAGAUGGUUUUGCUAUCACUUAUAGAUGGACCCGCGCCGUAUUAGCUAGUUGGUAAGGUAACGGCUUACCAAGGCGACGAUACGUAGCCGACCUGAGAGGGUGAUCGGCCACACUGGAACUGAGACACGGUCCAGACUCCUACGGGAGGCAGCAGUAGGGAAUCUUCCGCAAUGGGCGAAAGCCUGACGGAGCAACGCCGCGUGAGUGAUGAAGGUCUUCGGAUCGUAAAACUCUGUUAUUAGGGAAGAACAUACGUGUAAGUAACUGUGCACGUCUUGACGGUACCUAAUCAGAAAGCCACGGCUAACUACGUGCCAGCAGCCGCGGUAAUACGUAGGUGGCAAGCGUUAUCCGGAAUUAUUGGGCGUAAAGCGCGCGUAGGCGGUUUUUUAAGUCUGAUGUGAAAGCCCACGGCUCAACCGUGGAGGGUCAUUGGAAACUGGAAAACUUGAGUGCAGAAGAGGAAAGUGGAAUUCCAUGUGUAGCGGUGAAAUGCGCAGAGAUAUGGAGGAACACCAGUGGCGAAGGCGACUUUCUGGUCUGUAACUGACGCUGAUGUGCGAAAGCGUGGGGAUCAAACAGGAUUAGAUACCCUGGUAGUCCACGCCGUA
RNAcentral lists this ribosomal RNA (745 nucleotides) under Staphylococcus sp. W2. RNAcentral describes it as "bacterial SSU rRNA". It matches the Rfam family "Bacterial small subunit ribosomal RNA", at positions 74 to 804 of the family's 1533-position model. Lineage: Bacteria; Bacillati; Bacillota; Bacilli; Caryophanales; Staphylococcaceae. The record is from RNAcentral.